GGUCCGGUGGUGUAGAGGUUAUCACAUCGUUCUUAUACCUGAGCUUUAAACACUCAAGAUAUGCGAGGGUCCCGGGUUCAAACCCCGGUCGGACCA
This is a non-coding RNA of Rhypophila decipiens, 96 nucleotides long. NCBI's taxonomy places the organism in Eukaryota, Fungi, Ascomycota, Sordariomycetes, Sordariales, Naviculisporaceae. The record is from the annotation of a GenBank genome assembly.